UUGAAGAGAGAGUUCAAGAGUACGUGAAACUGCUCAGAGGUAAACGGGUGGGCCCUCGAAAUCCCGUCGCGGGGGGAUUCAGUCGGGAGGGCGCGGGAUGGCCGCAGUCGAUGGGUCGGACGCCGUAGUAGCGUCGGGCCGCGGCCAGCGUCUCGCGUCCCGCCCGACGCACUUCCCCCCGCGCUGCGGACGCCGCAGCCCGUCGGGGACCGGUCAUGAGGGCGCGUUUCGGCAGGUGGCGGGCGACGGGUCGCAGAGCCGGUCGCCCGUGGAUAGCCGUGCGCGUUUUUCCGGGCGCGGUACCCGACGGAGGUCGAAGUUUCCCCAGUCCCGGGGAACCGGCCGUCCCCUCCUUUUCGUAGAGCGAGCACCGCUUCAGGUGUCGGGCGCCGCAAGCAGGUCCGCCGAAUCACCCCCUCGCGGUGACCGGCGGAGCGCACGCACCGUUGUAGUGGCGGGCGUCUCGCCGAGGGACAGCAGACGGCUGGCGGCGAGUAGGUCGGUAACCCACCCGACCCGUCUUGAAACACGGACCAAGGAGUCUAACAUGUGCGCGAGUCAGUGGGUCUUGAAUAGGCCCAAGGGCGGAAUGAAAGUGAAGGUCGACCGCAGUCGUCGUCCGCGUUGGGAUCCCGGGGCCGCCACACGUCGGCCGCGGGCGCACCAACGGCCCGUCCGGUCCGAUUCAUCGGUCGGGCGGAGCGAGAGCGCACACGUUGGGACCCGAAAGAUGGUGAACUAUGCGUGGGCAGGGUGAAGUCAGGGGAAACCCUGGUGGAAGCCCGCAGCGGUUCUGACGU
Molecule: ribosomal RNA, 800 nt
Filed under: Smeringopus pallidus
Lineage: Eukaryota; Metazoa; Arthropoda; Arachnida; Araneae; Pholcidae
Description: eukaryotic LSU rRNA
Rfam family: Eukaryotic large subunit ribosomal RNA
Source: RNAcentral